UUGGACUAGGUUCUAGAACACAAAGGUGAAGCAUAUACCACUUGCUUCUCUAUGAGCUCAUAACUCAGAAGGGAAUCUCUAAUAAUAGAUAGUAAUAAAUACUGUAAUGAAGAUGUGUAUGAGAUACUAUAUUAUGCUGUGAACCCUAGAAGGAGGGGUGUUAUUUGUUAUUUAUUUGAUAAAUAACACAUAUUCACUAAGGAUUAGACAUUGGGCUAGAUGUUGAUAGAAGACAAUGAACAAUGAAUGUUGGAGAAUGUCCUUUCCUGCCUCUUAAUCAUUCUGAAUCUAAACUAAUGAUAAACUUCAAUCAGUUAAGAAAUAGCAAAAUCUGCAUCAUCUCCCAAAUCAGUUGUAAAACUGCCACAUGCAACUGACAAGUUUAUUCCUUAUCAAGGGCAAGAAGAACUCUCGAGGCAUCUGACAGCCAGAAAGUGGACAGGAGCAGCGACAGCACCCCUCCGUAAGAUGGUUGCUGCAGUGAAGGUGACUGGACAGGAAGUGUGAGUUAGAGAAAUCCUUGGGGCCAAAAACGUGGAUGUGCCAAAAACUGGACAUGAAGAAAAUUGCUAAUUCCCUUCAGUUAAAUAACAGUUUAGAUUAAACCAGCAAGAACUUUUGCUCUUUAAUAAAAUGCAAAGUUACCAUGCC
Pan troglodytes (chimpanzee) is the source of this 651-nucleotide long non-coding RNA. RefSeq lists it as uncharacterized. The transcript has 2 exons. The record is from RefSeq and is a predicted model, not a curated record. Lineage: Eukaryota; Metazoa; Chordata; Mammalia; Primates; Hominidae.